This 403-nucleotide ribosomal RNA is filed under the name uncultured Eubacteriales bacterium. RNAcentral's name for it is "uncultured Clostridiales bacterium partial 16S ribosomal RNA". It matches the Rfam family "Bacterial small subunit ribosomal RNA", at positions 355 to 774 of the family's 1533-position model. The record is from RNAcentral. Lineage: Bacteria; Bacillati; Bacillota; Clostridia; Eubacteriales.
UGGGGAAUAUUGCACAAUGGGCGCAAGCCUGAUGCAGCAACGCCGCGUGAAGGAUGAAGGUUUUCGGAUUGUAAACUUCUAUCGACAGGGACGAAUAAUGACGGUACCUGAGUAAGAAGCCCCGGCUAACUACGUGCCAGCAGCCGCGGUAAUACGUAGGGGGCAAGCGUUAUCCGGAUUUACUGGGUGUAAAGGGUGAGUAGGCGGUUUAGCAAGUCAUAUGUGAAAUUUCAAAGCUCAACUUUGAAACUGCAUAAGAAACUGUUAAACUUGAGUGCAGGAGAGGUAGGCGGAAUUCCUAGUGUAGCGGUGAAAUGCGUAGAUAUUAGGAGGAACACCAGUGGCGAAGGCGGCCUACUGGACUGAAACUGACGCUGAGUCACGAAAGCGUGGGGAGCAAACA